Molecule: ribosomal RNA, 253 nt
Filed under: uncultured bacterium
Lineage: Bacteria
Description: partial 16S ribosomal RNA
Rfam family: Bacterial small subunit ribosomal RNA
Source: RNAcentral
UACGAAGGGGGCUAGCGUUGUUCGGAUUUACUGGGCGUAAAGGGCGCGUAGGCGGGCGACUAAGUCAGGGGUGAAAUCCCAAGGCUCAACCUUGGAACUGCCUUUGAUACUGGUUGUCUUGAGUCCGGGAGAGGUGAGUGGAACUGCGAGUGUAGAGGUGAAAUUCGUAGAUAUUCGCAAGAACACCAGUGGCGAAGGCGGCUCACUGGCCCGGAACUGACGCUCAUGCACGAAAGCGUGGGGAGCAAGCAGG